CUUAGUAAUACAGAUGGGCUCCUCAUUUUCCCACUCUUUGGAAGUCAUCUUCCCCUCCACUUCUGGGUAAC
This is an unclassified non-coding RNA of Carlito syrichta (Philippine tarsier), 71 nucleotides long. Lineage: Eukaryota; Metazoa; Chordata; Mammalia; Primates; Tarsiidae. The record is from Ensembl.